RNAcentral lists this long non-coding RNA (1103 nucleotides) under Macaca fascicularis (crab-eating macaque). RNAcentral describes it as "lncRNA (ENSMFAG00000051491.1)". The record is from RNAcentral. Lineage: Eukaryota; Metazoa; Chordata; Mammalia; Primates; Cercopithecidae.
UUUGUGCUGCUAUAAUAAAACACCACAUACUGGGUAAUUUAAAACCAAGAGAAUCUUUUUUUUUCUCACAGUUCUGCAAACUGGGAAGUCUUGGGAUCAAGUUGUCACAUGUCUGGUGUCUAGCAAGGGCCUGUUCCUCAUAGAUUAUGCCUUUUGAGUGUCGUCAGAUGACAGAAGAGAUGGAAGGGGUGAAAACAGGUGUAUUUCCUCCUUUAAGUCCCUUGAUAAGGGCAUUGAUCCUAUUCUUUUAUAGUCCUCCGUAGUCACUAUCAUCGUGUCUCCUUCUGGGAGGAGAUUAUGAAACUGUGUUAAAGAAACACAGAGAGGAGUACAAAGGAGAGGCUGAGACUAAGACAGGAUUUUAUAAAUUCAAUGGAAGAGUCACUGGCUGAGAUUGUGGUUAUUGAACUGGACUGCUAUGCUUGGGUCCCCAUUUGAAUUAAGCAACCCUAGAGAUGUGUGUAUAUAUACACCUGCAUAUUUAUAUGUAAAUACAUAUAUACUCUCUGUGUGUGUGUGUGUGUGUGUGUGUGUGUGUGUGUAGUUUUCUGUUUAUUUUGGGGGUAUUGUUUAAGGUAUUGAUUUCUUUAUUAGACUCUUUGGUAGAAAUUUUACUGACAUCAAGUAUCAAGAAAUGUUUUGUUUCACCUGGACAAGAAUGCAUUUUUAUUUUGUGGUGGUUUUAUAACUGUUGGUGUUUUUCCAGUUGCUUUGACUUGCUAGGAAAGAACACCAUGUGUCAUAAAUUAUGGUGUGCUUUAGAGUGAAGUACUUUGCUCCAUCUUACAACCUUACUUUUACUUUCCCUUCAUCCUAUUUUCCUUAAAACUUCCCUUUGUUUUAAUCUUAGUGCAUUGCUGGUAUUUAUGAAGGCUAUUCAACUUCUCUUAAGAAGAGGAGAGGCCUUAAAUAAAUGGGUCAGCAAAUAGGCCUUAGUAUUUGAGCUCUUCACAAGGCCAAUCAUUGGGAGUCCAAUCACCUUUCUCCUGGAGGCUUGCUCAGAGCUUUAGUUAAAUCCUAUCAAAUAGUAAUUUCUUAUUAAGGCAGAGUUGGUCCUAAUAUUCAUCCAAGGAACACAUAUUCAAAUGAUAGACUUCUCGAAG